UUAUUACUACCUCCAUCCGAAAAUACUUGUCAUAGAAAUGCAUAAAAAUGGAUGUAUCUAGAGCUAAAAUACGUCUAGAUACACCCAUUCCUCCGACAAGUAUUUCAGGACGGAGGGAGUACUAA
This is a non-coding RNA of Triticum aestivum (bread wheat), 125 nucleotides long. Lineage: Eukaryota; Viridiplantae; Streptophyta; Magnoliopsida; Poales; Poaceae. The record is from Rfam.